RNAcentral lists this ribosomal RNA (449 nucleotides) under uncultured bacterium. RNAcentral describes it as "partial 16S ribosomal RNA". It matches the Rfam family "Bacterial small subunit ribosomal RNA", at positions 29 to 523 of the family's 1533-position model. The record is from RNAcentral.
AACGAACGCUGGCGGCAUGCCUAGCACAUGCAAGUCGAACGAAGGCUUCGGCCUUAGUGGCGCACGGGUGAGUAACGCGUGGGAAACUGCCUAUUGGUGGGGAAUAACGACGGGAAACUGUCGCUAAUACCGCAUAAGCCCUUCGGGGGAAAGAUUUAUCGCCGAUAGAUGUGCCCGCGUCCGAUUAGCUAGUUGGUGAGGUAAUGGCUCACCAAGGCGACGAUCGGUAGCUGGUCUGAGAGGAUGAUCAGCCACACUGGGACUGAGACACGGCCCAGACUCCUACGGGAGGCAGUAGUGGGGAAUAUUGGACAAUGGGCGAAAGCCUGAUCCAGCAAUGCCGCGUGAGUGAUGAAGGCCUUAGGGUUGUAAAGCUCUUUCGGGUGGGACGAUGAUGACGGUACCACCAGAAGAAGCCCCGGCUAACUUCGUGCCAGCCGCCGCGGUAA